GGCUUAACUCCGGGCGUGCAGGCGAUACGGGCAUAACUUGAGUGCUGUAGGGGAGACUGGAAUUCCUGGUGUAGCGGUGAAAUGCGCAGAUAUCAGGAGGAACACCGAUGGCGAAGGCAGGUUACUGGGCAGUUACUGACGCUGAGGAGCGAAAGCAUGGGUAGCGAACAGGAUUAGAUACCCUGGUAGUCCACACCGUAAACGUUGGGC
RNAcentral lists this ribosomal RNA (210 nucleotides) under Fibrocapsa japonica. RNAcentral's name for it is "partial Bacterial small subunit ribosomal RNA". It matches the Rfam family "Bacterial small subunit ribosomal RNA", at positions 606 to 814 of the family's 1533-position model. Lineage: Eukaryota; Raphidophyceae; Chattonellales; Chattonellaceae. The record is from RNAcentral.